This is a non-coding RNA of Oryctolagus cuniculus (rabbit), 1087 nucleotides long. The record is from RefSeq and is a predicted model, not a curated record. Lineage: Eukaryota; Metazoa; Chordata; Mammalia; Lagomorpha; Leporidae.
UCCCAGGCCACAGCAGAGAGCUGGAUCGGAAGUGGAGCAGGCGGGACUCCAACCAGCACCCAUUUGGGAUGCCAGCACUCCAGGCAGUGGCUUUACUCACUACGCCACAGCGCUGGCCCCAUCCCAGCCAUUUUUAACCCUUCAUUUCCGUGGUGCUAAGCACAUUCACACUGCUGUAAAACAGACCUCCCAAACAUUCCAAAUCUGAAACUCUCAAUCCAGAAACAGUAACUCCUCCUUCUCUGCCCCUCACCGCCAGCCCCAGGCUCCUCCACGCUGCCGUCCGCCUCCGUUUCGCAAUCCCACCGGCAGCGCACGCGGGCUCCGUCUGCCCCACGUCUUGGACAUGCUGGCUGCUCUCUGGGUUCUUCCCAGUAGCAGCCCCACGGCGGUGGAAGCUGUUCGUGUGCAGUUCACUGGUGACCAGAGAUCCAGCAUGUUCCCACGUGUGCGCCGCCUUUUACAGAGUACCUUUGGAAAAACACCAACUCAAGCCCAUCAUAAUUAGGUUAUUUGACUUUUUGCAUCGAACAGAUCAUCGCACAGAGGUGGUUUCCCGGCUACGCCACACAGAUUCAGCAGGUGACUCUGAGCUCCGCAUGCAGCUCCUACGAAGCGCGAUGCAGGCAACAAACAGUUCCAGACGCCUUCUUGGCCAGCUCUCCCAAAAGCACUGGGUUGUAAAUACGCAGAAAGCCAGGCCUCCGCCUUCUAGGAGCCGACCAACAAGUCAGCAGAAAGGACAGUCUCCUUGCUGAAGGGCCCAGAAAAGGCACGCAGUGUAGAUGUGGUAUGGAGCUGGAGGCAUCGAAGUCCUGAAAUCUCUCACCCACUUUAGAAGCAGAGCUUCCCCCACGACUCCAUUGUCAUCAGUCUCUCCCCGAGGUCACUCUGAUCUUCUGAGACCGGAAGUCAGCACCACACCCAAGCAGACCUGUCACAGACGGGCACUGGCUCUCCACCCCAUGACCACACCCACUUUUCUAUCAUGUUCGUUUUCCCACAAGCACCCUCCGUCUCCCCAGAAGUGCUGCUGACUCUUGCCUGUCCCUGUGAAGAUGACAAAUAAACCCCAGAAUUCUUGUUA